AGAGUUUGAUCAUGGCUCAGGAUGAACGCUAGCGGCAGGCUUAACACAUGCAAGUCGAGGGGUAACAGGGAUUGCUUGCAAUCCGCUGACGACCGGCGCACGGGUGCGUAACGCGUAUGCAACCUACCUUCUACAGGGGGAUAGUCAAUAGAAAUGUUGAAUAAUACCCCAUACGAUCAUUAAUCUGCAUGGAUUGAUGAAGAAAGUUCCGGCGGUAGAAGAUGGGCAUGCGUCCUAUUAGUUAGUUGGUAAGGUAACGGCUUACCAAGACAUCGAUAGGUAGGGGUCCUGAGAGGGAGAUCCCCCACACUGGUACUGAGACACGGACCAGACUCCUACGGGAGGCAGCAGUGAGGAAUAUUGGACAAUGGAGGCAACUCUGAUCCAGCCAUGCCGCGUGCAGGAAGACUGCCCUAUGGGUUGUAAACUGCUUUUAUACAGGAAGAAUAGUACCUACGUGUAGGUAUUUGACGGUACUGUACGAAUAAGGAUCGGCUAACUCCGUGCCAGCCGCCGCGGUAAUAC
This 525-nucleotide ribosomal RNA is filed under the name uncultured bacterium. RNAcentral's name for it is "bacterial SSU rRNA". It matches the Rfam family "Bacterial small subunit ribosomal RNA", at positions 8 to 526 of the family's 1533-position model. The record is from RNAcentral.